Molecule: ribosomal RNA, 424 nt
Filed under: uncultured bacterium
Lineage: Bacteria
Description: bacterial SSU rRNA
Rfam family: Bacterial small subunit ribosomal RNA
Source: RNAcentral
AGGUAAGUUAAAUUAAUUAGUACGGUAACGUCGCCCGAGUCGGGUGGGGGAAUUAAACGUAGACGAAAGUUACGCUAAUACCGCAUACGAUCUACGGAUGAAAGCGGGGGACUCGCAAGAGCCUCGCGCGAUUGGAGCGGCCGAUAUCAGAUUAGGUAGUUGGUGAGGUAAAGGCUCACCAAGCCAACGAUCUGUAGCUGGUCUGAGAGGACGACCAGCCACACUGGAACUGAGACACGGUCCAGACUCCUACGGGAGGCAGCAGUGGGGAAUUUUGGACAAUGGACGCAAGUCUGAUCCAGCCAUUCCGCGUGCAGGAUGAAGGCCCUCGGGUUGUAAACUGCUUUGUACGGAACGAAAAGGUUUCUAUUAAUACUAGGAGCUCAUGACGGUACCGUAAGAAUAAGCACCGGCUAACUACGUG